GACGAACGCUGGCGGCGUGCUUAACACAUGCAAGUCGAACGAGAAUCACUGGAAGGAGUUUUCGGACAACGGAAGGUGAGGACAGUGGCGGACGGGUGAGUAACGCGUGAGGAACCUGCCUUUCAGAGGGGGACAACAGUUGGAAACGACUGCUAAUACCGCAUGACACAUAGAGAUCGCAUGGUUUUUAUGUCAAAGAUUUAUCGCUGAAAGAUGGCCUCGCGUCUGAUUAGCUAGUUGGUGAGGUAACGGCCCACCAAGGCGACGAUCAGUAGCCGGACUGAGAGGUUGACCGGCCACAUUGGGACUGAGAUACGGCCCAGACUCCUACGGGAGGCAGCAGUGGGGAAUAUUGGGCAAUGGGCGCAAGCCUGACCCAGCAACGCCGCGUGAAGGAAGAAGGCUUUCGGGUUGUAAACUUCUUUUGUCGGGGACGAGUAGAAGACGGUACCUGGCGAAUAAGCCACGGCUAACUACGUGCCAGCAGCCGCGGUAAUACGUAGGUGGCAAGCGUUGUCCGGAUUUACUGGGUGUAAAGGGCGUGUAGCCGGGAAGGCAAGUCAGAUGUGAAAUCCACGGGCUUAACUCGUGAACUGCAUUUGAAACUACUUUUCUUGAGUAUCGGAGAGGCAAUCGGAAUUCCUAGUGUAGCGGUGAAAUGCGUAGAUAUUAGGAGGAACACCAGUGGCGAAGGCGGAUUGCUGGACGACAACUGACGGUGAGGCGCGAAAGC
This 733-nucleotide ribosomal RNA is filed under the name uncultured Lachnospiraceae bacterium. RNAcentral's name for it is "bacterial SSU rRNA". It matches the Rfam family "Bacterial small subunit ribosomal RNA", at positions 28 to 760 of the family's 1533-position model. The record is from RNAcentral. Lineage: Bacteria; Bacillati; Bacillota; Clostridia; Lachnospirales; Lachnospiraceae.